RNAcentral lists this non-coding RNA (91 nucleotides) under Metapseudomonas resinovorans NBRC 106553. The record is from RNAcentral. Lineage: Bacteria; Pseudomonadati; Pseudomonadota; Gammaproteobacteria; Pseudomonadales; Pseudomonadaceae.
GUCUAUGGCGGACCGUGCGAGCGGGCCUCGAGCCCGACCGGUUCUGGUGAACGAUCCCGGUACUUCCACACUCGCACGGUCCGCCACCCUU